AUUGAACGCUGGCGACAGGCCUAACACAUGCAAGUCGAGCGCGAAAGUCUUCGGAUGAGUAAAGCGGCGAACGGGUGAGUAAUGCAUGGGAAUCUGCCUGGUAUGGGGGACAACGUCUCGAAAGGGACGCUAAUACCGCAUACGCCCUACGGGGGAAAGGGGGGGAUCUUCGGACCUCUCGCUAUCAGAUGAGCCCAUGUCAGAUUAGCUAGUUGGUGAGGUAAAGGCUCACCAAGGCGACGAUCUGUAACUGGUCUGAGAGGAUGAUCAGUCACACUGGAACUGAGACACGGUCCAGACUCCUACGGGGAGGCAGCAGUGGGGAAUAUUGGACAAGUGGGGCAACCCUGAUCCAGCCAUGCCGCGUGUGUGAAGAAGG
This 379-nucleotide ribosomal RNA is filed under the name uncultured bacterium. RNAcentral's name for it is "bacterial SSU rRNA". It matches the Rfam family "Bacterial small subunit ribosomal RNA", at positions 30 to 414 of the family's 1533-position model. The record is from RNAcentral.